Molecule: ribosomal RNA, 906 nt
Filed under: uncultured bacterium
Lineage: Bacteria
Description: bacterial SSU rRNA
Rfam family: Bacterial small subunit ribosomal RNA
Source: RNAcentral
GUGUCAGCAGCCGCGCGGUAAUACGGAAGGGGCAAACGUUAUUCGGAAUUAUUGGGCGUAAAGCGUCCGUAGGCGGUUUGUUAAGUGGGCUGUGAAAACCUGGAGCUUAACUUGGGAACUGCAUUGGAAACUGUUGAACUUGAGUGUGGUAGAGGGAGGUAGAAUUUCCUGUGUAGCGGUGAAAUGCGUAGAUAUCGGAAGGAAUACCGAUGGCGAAGGCGCUCUGCUGGACCAUCACUGACGCUGAUGUGCGAAAGCCAGGGGAGCGAAAGGGAUUAGAUACCCCUGUAGUCCUGGCCGUAAACGAUGAACACUAGGUGUCGGGGGAAUCGACCCCCUCGGUGUCGUAGCCAACGCGUUAAGUGUUCCGCCUGGGGAGUACGCACGCAAGUGUGAAACUCAAAGGAAUUGACGGGGGCCCGCACAAGCGGUGGAGUAUGUGGUUUAAUUCGAGGCAACGCGAAGAACCUUACCCGGGUUUGACAUUGAGCGACGUUAGGUGAAAGCCUAAUUCCCUUCGGGGCGCGAAAACAGGUGCUGCAUGGCUGUCGUCAGCUCGUGCUGUGAAGUGUUCGGUUAAGUCCGGCAACGAGCGCAACCCAUACCCUUACUUGCUAACAGGUAAUGCUGAGAACUUUAAGGGGACUGCCCGUGUUAAGCGGGAGGAAGGUGUGGACGACGUCAAGUCAGUAUGGCCCUUACACCCGGGGCUGCACACGUGCUACAAUGGGCCGGUACAAAGGGCAGCGACCUAGCGAUAGGAAGCGAAUCCCAAAAACCGGUCUCAUUACGGAUUGGAGUCUGCAACUCGACUCCAUGAAGAUGGAAUCGCUAGUCAAUGUGCAUCAGCUUACGGCACAUUUGAAUACGUUCCCGCGUCCUUGCACACACCGUCCCGUACAAUUC